Molecule: long non-coding RNA, 1329 nt
Filed under: Bos indicus x Bos taurus (hybrid cattle)
Lineage: Eukaryota; Metazoa; Chordata; Mammalia; Artiodactyla; Bovidae
Description: lncRNA (ENSBIXG00005025535.1)
Source: RNAcentral
GGGUGAGGCUGUUUUUCUUAAAAAGUGUCAUUUGAAAAUAAACAGUGUUGCUAGCGUUUCUCUGAUUGCCCCAGGUCCCUAGGGAGCAGCAGCAGGCAGGCAGCGUCCGGGGGUCCAGGUGGCCAGGGUCUUCCAGCCAGGUUGGCCCCCCCGCCUCCCGGAACGGGCCCUGCCACUGAGAAGGCCCACCAGGGUGGGGCCUCCCUGACCGUACAGACGGCUCCAGAGGCUGGGUGCCCCUGUGGGCACCCAGGGCUGGGGAGGUGGCCGGGAAAGAGGGGGGUCUCCCUCGUCCCAGGGCAGGUCCAGGCAGGCCCAGCUAGUCUCACUGCCCAGGGGCUGCCUGGGGUUCCCGGAGGCCUGACACCUCUGUGUUACCUACACGCCCCGGGCUCUGGGGGGCCCAGAUCCCCACCCGCUGCCACCUCUGCUCUUGGAUUUUCAGUGAAUGGGGGUAGGAGGCUCCUUCCUGAGCUCCAGAACCUGAAGGCUCUGGGCUUCCUGGGGGCUGCCCUCCACCACACCCCCUGCCAAGCACAGCCUCCGCUAGGGCAACCACACUUUCUCCUCCUGGAAGCCAUGCCAGCUACCACCUUCCCAGGGUCAUCUGAACCUAGGCCAAACCAUGACCUCUGGGCGUCACAUCUCUCUCACCUGCCCGCUGCCCACUGCCCACAGGACGGUCAUGCUGUGACACGCUGGGCAGCUGUGAGCAAGCCCUGGGCUGUCAGUCUGGGGGGCGUGUGGACCCCCGCCGGCCUGAUGGCUUGGAAUCCUGCCGUGGCCCUGCGGCGUCUAGAAACGGUGCUCACUUGUCUCUCCCACACACACCCGCUUCUCCCCCUGGCUGGACAGGCCGGGGAAAAGGGAGCCAGCUUUGGUGCAUGGGCCCACCUCGGCCUGCUCGCAGGCCGUGCACCCCUUGUGGAAGCUGCCUGGGGUGGCACUUACUGGGGGGCCUCAUGGCCCCGAUGCCGCAUGGAGAUGCUAUGUGCCUCCCCCGCACCCCAGGGAGCUGGGAACCCGGCUGCAAGGCCCUCCCCACCGGACGGAACCCAGGGCCCCUGCUGAGCAGAGCAGUAGGCCUCAGAAAGAGAGGGUCCUCCUGGGUAAGAGUCGAGGGGCGUGGCCCACCGUGUCCCCCAGACACCGCACUGCUGUGACAGCGUGAAGCUGGGCUGUUCUGGGGGCACGGGCAGCAGGAGACCCCCACCCCACGCCAGGAGACCCUUGGGCUAGACGCAGCGUGAGGGACAUGGGAGGCGAGGUGGCCGACAGGCUGCCUGUCCACCCCCAGAGCAACUUUGCACGCUACCCUCCGCUGCGGAC